This 484-nucleotide ribosomal RNA is filed under the name uncultured bacterium. RNAcentral's name for it is "partial 16S ribosomal RNA". It matches the Rfam family "Bacterial small subunit ribosomal RNA", at positions 28 to 523 of the family's 1533-position model. The record is from RNAcentral.
GAUGAACGCUGGCGGCGUGCUUAACACAUGCAAGUCGAACGGUGAAGCAGGAGCUUGCUCUUGUGGAUCAGUGGCGAACGGGUGAGUAACACGUGAGCAACCUGCCCCUGACUCUGGGAUAAGCGCUGGAAACGGCGUCUAAUACUGGAUAUGUGAUGUGACCGCAUGGUCUGCAUCUGGAAAGAAUUUCGGUUGGGGGUGGGCUCGCGGCCUAUCAGCUUGUUGGUGAGGUAAUGGCUCACCAAGGCGUCGACGGGUAGCCGGCCUGAGAGGGUGACCGGCCACACUGGGACCGAGACACGGCCCAGACUCCUACGGGAGGCAGCAGUGGGGAAUAUUGCACAAUGGGCGGAAGCCUGAUGCAGCAACGCCGCGUGAGGGAUGACGGCCUUCGGGUUGUAAACCUCUUUUAGCAGGGAAGAAGCGAAAGUGACGGUACCUGCAGAAAAAGCACCGGCUAACUACGUGCCAGCCGCCGCGGUAA